RNAcentral lists this unclassified non-coding RNA (208 nucleotides) under Hevea brasiliensis (rubber tree). The record is from RNAcentral. Lineage: Eukaryota; Viridiplantae; Streptophyta; Magnoliopsida; Malpighiales; Euphorbiaceae.
UUUACCACUCUUGUUGAUACGUUUAUUUUUUUUUAGAACCGUCUUGUGAGCCGAAAACUCUCAUGGAACACGAGACUGGAACACAGAUUUCCGAUAUCAGUUUUGGUUUGAUGUGCAUGCAACCACACCAGCUUAUUGAAGUGAGUUGUAUAUACUUGCUUGUUAAUCAAUACAUAAUGUUAGUGUACAGAAGGUUGUCCUGCAUAUU